AUAGAUCCGUAACUUCGGGAAAAGGAUUGGCUCUAAGGGUUGGGUGCGUCGGGCCUUGGUUGGAAGCCCUAGGACCUGGCUGGGACUGCUGAGGGGGCAACUUCUCGGUGGACCUGGCCGGGACCUGGGNGUGGACGGCCUUGGCUCGCUCACGGGCGUCCGCGUACGCUUAACAACCAACUUAGAACUGGUACGG
Molecule: ribosomal RNA, 196 nt
Filed under: Candolleomyces candolleanus
Lineage: Eukaryota; Fungi; Basidiomycota; Agaricomycetes; Agaricales; Psathyrellaceae
Description: Psathyrella candolleana partial 25S large subunit ribosomal RNA
Rfam family: Eukaryotic large subunit ribosomal RNA
Source: RNAcentral